Molecule: ribosomal RNA, 496 nt
Filed under: uncultured bacterium
Lineage: Bacteria
Description: partial 16S ribosomal RNA
Rfam family: Bacterial small subunit ribosomal RNA
Source: RNAcentral
GAUGAACGCUGGCGGCGUGCCUAAUACAUGCAAGUCGAGCGAACGGACGAGAAGCUUGCUUCUCUGAUGUUAGCGGCGGACGGGUGAGUAACACGUGGAUAACCUACCUAUAAGACUGGGAUAACUUCGGGAAACCGGAUCUAAUACCGGAUGAUAUUUUGAACCGCAUGGUUCAAAAGUGAAAGACGGUCUUGCUGUCACUUAUAGAUGGAUCCGCGCUGCAUUAGCUAGUUGGUAAGGUAACGGCUUACCAAGGCAACGAUGCAUAGCCGACCUGAGAGGGUGGUCGGCCAAACUGGAACUGAGACACGGCCCAGGCUCCUACGGGAGGCAGGAGGAGGGAAUCUUCCGCAAGGGGCGAAGGCCUGACGGAGCAACGCCGCGGGGGUGAUGAAGGUCUGCGGAUCGUAAAACCCUGUUUUUAGGGAAAAACAUAUGUGUAAGUAACUGUGCAAAUCUGGACGGUACCAAACCAGAAAGCCACGGCAAACUACGG